This 2747-nucleotide long non-coding RNA is filed under the name Triticum aestivum (bread wheat). RNAcentral's name for it is "long non-coding RNA (TAES_LNC025582)". Lineage: Eukaryota; Viridiplantae; Streptophyta; Magnoliopsida; Poales; Poaceae. The record is from RNAcentral.
GCAUAACCGCAUUGAAAGCAAUGUCGGAAGUGAGGUAAUCUUCACGCAACCCAUGUAAUACAUAAGGGAAAGAGAUACAUAGUUGGCUUACAAUCGCCACUUCACACAAUUACAUGAAUAAAGCAUUACAUCAUCCAGAUACAAUCAAGGUCCGACUACGGAACCAAAACAAAAGAAGACUACCCCAAAUGCUACACAGAUCCCCGAUCGACCCCAACUGGGAUCCACUACUGAUCAACUAGAACGAAGCAACAUAAAGGACAAGAUCAUCAUCGAGCUCCUCCUUGAGCUUGGUUGCAUCACCUGCUCGGUAGCAUCAGCACCUGCAAAUUGGUUUUGGAAGUAUCUGUGAGUCACGGGGACUCAGCAAUCUUACACCCUCGCGAUCAAGACUAUUUAAGCUUAUAGGAAGGAUAAAAGGUAUGAGGUGGAGCUGCAGCAAGCGACUAGCAUAUAUGGUGGCUAAACAUACGCAAAUGAGAGCGAGAAGAGAAGGCAAAGUGCGGUCGAGAAACUAUGAUCAAGAGGUGAUCCUAGAACAACCUACGUCAAGCAUAACUCCAACACCGUGUUCACUUCCCAAACUCCGCCAGAAAGAGACCAUCACGGUUACACACGCGGUUGCUGUAUUUUAAUUAAGGUCAACUUCAGGUUUUUUACAACCGGACAUUAACAAAUUCCCAUCUGCCCAUAACCGCGGGCACGGCUUUCAAAAGUUCAAAUCCCUGCAGGGGUGUCCCAACUUAGCCCAUCACAAGCUCUCACGGUCAACGAAGGAUAUUCCUUCUAGCGGGAAGACCAGAUCAGACUUGGAAUCCCGGUUACAAGACAUUUCGACAAUGGUAAAACAAGUCCAGCAACACCGCCCGAAUGUGCCGACAAAUCCCGAUAGGAGCUGCACAUAUCUCGUUCUCAGGGCACAGUCAGAUGAGACUAGCUACGAGUAAAACCAACCCUCAAGUUUCCCCGAGGUGGCCCCGCAGGCAGCUCAGUUCGGACCAACACUCAAAGGAGCACUGGCCCGGGGGGGUUAAAUAAAGAUGACCCUUGGGCAGGCCUACCCAAGGGAAAGAAAAGGCUAGGUGGAGAAUGGUAAAACCAAUGUUGAGCAUUGCUGGAGGAGUUUUAUUCAAAGCGAAUUAUCAAGGGGUUCCCAUUAUACCCAACCGCGUAAGGAACGCAAAAUCCGGGAACAUAACACUGAUAUGACGGAAACUAGGGCGGCAAGAGUGGAACAAAACACCAGGCAUAAGGCCGAGCCUUCCACCCUUUACCAAGUAUAUAAAUGCAUUAAUUAGAUAAGAGAUAUUGUGAUAUCCCAACAAGUAAACAUGUUCCAACAAGGAACAACAUCUCCAUGUUCCAACGAGGAACAAACUUCAAUCUUCACCUACAACUAACAAUGCUAUAAGAGGGGCUGAGCAAAGGGGUAACAUAGCCAAACAACGGUUUGCUAGGACAAGGUGGGUUAGAGGCUUGGUUCAACAAUAUGGGAGGCAUGAUAAGCAAGUGGUAGGUAUCGCGGCAUAGGCAUAGCAAAAGAGCGAGCAACUAGCAAGCAAAGAUAGAAGUGAUUUCGAGGGUAUGGUCAUCUUGCCAGAAAUCCCGCAAGGACAAAGAACGAGUCCAAGAAGAAGAUAAACAGACGUAGUCGAACGGAUCCUCACACACACGACGUUAUCGGAACCAACCCGAAGAAGCAACACCAGAAAAGAAGCAAACAACAUAGUAAACAACCAUCACAUAAACAUGGCACGUGCGCAAACAAGUAUGAUGCAUGUCCGGUUUAAAUAUGCAUGGCAUGGCAAACUGCACAAGCAAUCCUACAAAUUAAGUGGAGCUCAAUAUGCAACGAGUUGCAUAUUGACGGAACACCACGUGACUUAUUUAGUUCUCUCUCGUUUAUGUACCCAACAAGAUUAAAUGUUGAUUAACAUGGCAAGAGGGUGAAGCAUGAAGAAACUAUCUAAUCUAGGCAAGUUUAAAUGAGGUCGGAACAACAAAACAACAAGUCUGGAAACUCCUCAUAUGCAUAUAUUAGUUUUGGUACUGUUCUGCCCUAAACACAAUUUUAGGGUUGUUAAACAAGCAAAGUGACGCCACCAUGUUAAACUAGGCAUUUUUCUACCCCAUUUACAUAUAAAGAUUAUUUAAAUCCGAGCUACGGUUAUUUAGUUAUGAAUUAAAUCAUUUUAGCAUGCCACAUGAGCAAAUUUAAUCAAACAUCAUUUUAAGCAUUUUAAACAUAGAUGAAAGUGACAUAUUAUGAAACUAGAUGAAAAACUAAGCAUAUUUCAUAUAAAGUUUGUUUUAAUCCGAUGCACGGUUAUUAAGUUAUUAACAAUGCAAAAUAGUGGCAAAUUGAUGUAAUUAUGCAUGCACUGGAUAUUAGGAAAUUCGUCAGCAGGGAAAAAAAUAUAGCUGGGCCGAAUGCAACGCACUAUGCAAGCCCAACAACAGAUCUAGCCCGAAGCAGACAUGGGUGUGCAAAAAUAACAGGAAAGCAAAGCAAAAUGGGGGUUGCUGGGAUUCGAACCCCAGACCCCUUGAAUGGUUAGAGGCUGCGCUAGCCACUGAGCUAGCUCUGUGUUUGUCAUGCAAAGGGAUACGAACAGAAAUUAAAGCAUAUGGGCACCACGGCCAAGACACAACCUGAAGCGGGCGCACGGGGAUUCGCCGGCGACGGGAGCGAACAACAACUGCUGCUGUGGUUGCAGAGGACCUGCGGGGAUGCGGAAACCUGCUAG